GUCGAGCGGAACGAGUUAUCUGAACCUUCGGGGGACGAUAACGGCGUCGAGCGGCGGACGGGUGAGUAAUGCCUAGGAAAUUGCCCUGAUGUGGGGGAUAACCAUUGGAAACGAUGGCUAAUACCGCAUAAUGCCUACGGGCCAAAGAGGGGGACCUUCGGGCCUCUCGCGUCAGGAUAUGCCUAGGUGGGAUUAGCUAGUUGGUGAGGUAAUGGCUCACCAAGGCGACGAUCCCUAGCUGGUCUGAGAGGAUGAUCAGCCACACUGGAACUGAGACACGGUCCAGACUCCUACGGGAGGCAGCAGUGGGGAAUAUUGCACAAUGGGCGCAAGCCUGAUGCAGCCAUGCCGCGUGUGUGAAGAAGGCCUUCGGGUUGUAAAGCACUUUCAGUCGUGAGGAAGGUGGUGUAGUUAAUAGCUCUAUUACUUGACGUUAGCGACAGAAGAAGCACCGGCUAACUCCGUGCCAGCAGCCGCGGUAAUACGGAGGGUGCGAGCGUUAAUCGGAAUUACUGGGCGUAAAGCGCAUGCAGGUGGUUUGUUAAGUCAGAUGUGAAAGCCCGGGGCUCAACCUCGGAAUAGCAUUUGAAACUGGCAGACUAGAGUACUGUAGAGGGGGGUAGAAUUUCAGGUGUAGCGGUGAAAUGCGUAGAGAUCUGAAGGAAUACCGGUGGCGAAGGCGGCCCCCUGGACAGAUACUGACACUCAGAUGCGAAAGCGUGGGGAGCAAACAGGAUUAGAUACCCUGGUAGUCCACGCCGUAAACGAUGUCUACUUGGAGGUUGUGGCCUUGAGCCGUGGCUUUCGGAGCUAACGCGUUAAGUAGACCGCCUGGGGAGUACGGUCGCAAGAUUAAAACUCAAAUGAAUUGACGGGGGCCCGCACAAGCGGUGGAGCAUGUGGUUUAAUUCGAUGCAACGCGAAGAACCUUACCUACUCUUGACAUCCAGAGAACUUUCCAGAGAUGGAUUGGUGCCUUCGGGAACUCUGAGACAGGUGCUGCAUGGCUGUCGUCAGCUCGUGUUGUGAAAUGUUGGGUUAAGUCCCGCAACGAGCGCAACCCUUAUCCUUGUUUGCCAGCGAGUAAUGUCGGGAACUCCAGGGA
RNAcentral lists this ribosomal RNA (1105 nucleotides) under Vibrio owensii. RNAcentral's name for it is "bacterial SSU rRNA". It matches the Rfam family "Bacterial small subunit ribosomal RNA", at positions 61 to 1146 of the family's 1533-position model. Lineage: Bacteria; Pseudomonadati; Pseudomonadota; Gammaproteobacteria; Vibrionales; Vibrionaceae. The record is from RNAcentral.